GACGAACGCUGGCGGCGUGCUUAACACAUGCAAGUCGAGCGGUAAGGCCCUUUCGGGGGUACACGAGCGGCGAACGGGUGAGUAACACGUGGGUGACCUGCCUUUAGCUCUGGGAUAAGCCUGGGAAACCGGGUCUAAUACCGGAUAUGACUCCGCGGCGCAUGUUGUGGGGUGGAAAGCCUUGUGCGGCUGGAGAUGGGCCCGCGGCCUAUCAGCUUGUUGGUGGGGUGAUGGCCUACCAAGGCGACGACGGGUAGCCGGCCUGAGAGGCGACCGGCCACACUGGGACUGAGACACGGCCCAGACUCCUACGGGAGGCAGCAGUGGGGAAUCUUGCGCAAUGGGCGAAAGCCUGACGCAGCGACGCCGCGUGAGGGAUGACGGCCU
This 387-nucleotide ribosomal RNA is filed under the name uncultured bacterium. RNAcentral's name for it is "bacterial SSU rRNA". It matches the Rfam family "Bacterial small subunit ribosomal RNA", at positions 28 to 417 of the family's 1533-position model. The record is from RNAcentral.